AUGAGCGAUUACUUGGUAAAGGCGGUACUGGCUUUGUAUAUAAGUACCAACAACGAGAUUUUAAAACAGGGUGUGGAGCAAAGUGGGGAGAUAAUCGCAGUGAAGAGGCUUAUGCCAUCAAUGGUGGGCGCUCAGAGUUUAUUUGAGAAUGAGGUUCAUCAUCUUAUGAGGCUUAGGCACCCAAAUAUUGUGCGACUUACGGGCUAUUGCUAUGAAACAAAGAAAUUUAUUUUAGAAUACAAAGGGAAAAAUGUUUUUGGUGAGAGGCCAGAAAUGUUACUUUGCUUGGAGUAUCUCCCUAAAGGUAGCCUUGAUGGUUAUAUUUCAGAUGGAUCUUCCCAACUUGAUUGGCACACGUGCUACAAAAUAAUUGAGGGGAUUUGCAAUGGUUUGCACUACCUUCAUGAGCAAAUUGACAAGUCUGUUCUUCACUUGGACCUUAAGCCUGCGAACGUAUUGCUUGAUAACAAUUUGGCACCAAAACUUACAGAUUUUGGGCUGUCAAAACUGCUUGAUCAAUAUCAAACUAUGUUCACUCCAAAUCGUUUUGGUACAUUAGGCUACAUGGCACCAGAAUACAUCGAUGAAGGUACAAUCACACCUAAGACAGACAUAUUUAGUUUCGGUGUGAUAAUCAUGGAGCUAAUAACGGGACACAGGGACUACCCAAGUGUUGCUGGAACAUCUUCCGAUGGCUUUAUUGAGCUUGCACUUAAAAAAUGGAGAAACACACUGGAGAAAGCACAGGGGUACACAAAGAUAGAAGUAGAUUGCCAACAAAUAAAACGAUGCAUUCAAAUAGGUCUAAUCUGCGUUAAUCCUGAGUGCUCCAAAAGGCCUACAACAGCAAAAAUUAUCAAGAUGCUUAAAGGACUAGAAAUUUCAGAUUGUAGGAUUAGCAAUGAGGCAACGUCAUCAGCACAUCAGACUUCAAAUGGGGUUAGUGAACAAGGAAAACCACAUCCAAAAAAUACACUAUGUAUUGAGAUUUCGGAGGAAGCUGAUAGACAGGAUCUAGCAUUGGUCUCUCUUGCAAUUGCUGGUGACUGUCUAUGUGGAAACUUGAAGUUGUUGUACCUGAAAAACGGAGAACACAUUUCUCCACAGGCAUCCAUCGUCCGCAUCGUUGUCCCAGGCUCUCCCGCUGGUACUGAACUUCAUGUGGACCCCUACAUGCUCUCCAUGCGGAGUCCCUACCUUCGUGCGAUCUUUGCCCGCCACAACAAUCAUUAUGGUGCAUCUGGGGGCAGUGCGGAGGGCAACAGGAUGGACCUCCAAGAAUUUCUAGGCAAGGAAGUGAAGGUCGAGUAUGAUGCGCUGUUACUGGUACUCUUGUACCUGUACAGUGGCCGUGUCGGAGACCUUCCCGAGUCGGCGUACAUAUGUGCCGACGAGAACGGUUGUGCGCACCUCGGCUGCCACCCCACCGUCUCCUUCAAGGUGCAGGUUCUCUUUGUUGCCUUCACCUUCCAGGUCCCCGAGCUGACCAGCCUCUUCCAGCGGGAUCUCUUUGAUGUCCUUCAUAAGGUUGAAGUGGAUAACCUUCCACUGAUCUUGUCUGUUGCAAACUUAUGCAAAAAAUCUUGCCGGAAACUGCUCGAGAGAUGCCUUGAGAUGGUAGUCCAGUCAAAUCUUGACAUGAUUACUCUUGAGAAAGUAUUGCCUCCAGAUGUUGUUAAGCAAAUUACUGACUUACGGCUAAGUUUUGGAUUAGCUUCAUCCGAGGACAUGGGCUUUCCUAACAAACAUGUAAGAAGGAUACUCAGAGCUCUUGAUUCCAAUGAUGUGGAGCUAGUAAGGAUUCUGAUCAAGAAAGGGCAGACCAAUCUUGAUGAUGCAUUUGCGCUCCAUUAUGCUGUAGAACACUGUGACUCAAAAAUUACAACAGAACUUCUGGACAUCGCACUUGCAGAUGUUAGUCUCAGAAACCCAAGAGGUUACACUGUUCUUCACAUUGCCGCCAGACGGAAGGAUCCUAAAAUCAUUGUCUCCCUUUUAACCAAAGGUGCUCGGCCUUCCGAUUUUACACUUGAUGGAAGAAAAGCAGUUCAAAUCUCAAAGAGACUCACAAAACAUGGGGAUUAUUUUGGGAGUACUGAAGCAGGAAAGCCGUCUCCCAAGGAUAAAUUAUGCAUUAAGAUACUGGAGCAAGCUGAAAGAAGGGAUCCACAACUUGGAGAAGCGUCGGUUUCUCUUGCAUUGGCUGGUGACUGUCUUCUUGGGAAGUUAUUGUACCUUGAAAACCGAGAUACGCUCCUGAAGGUUUUCAGCGAGGACAAGGAGGAGUUUGCCAGAACGACAGCCCUUUCAUCUUCCUCAUCGUCGACGUCCCUCAGCAAGGAAUUUGACAGGUGCCGGCCAAUCGCACAGAGCAGUAUGAGUGUGCAGAUCUCCAUUCCCCAGUCCUUGCCUCUUCUUCUCCUUCUCUCCGGAUCUCUCUCACGGCGAUUUGGGGGCGGCGGCGCCAUGGUUCGGAGCUGGAGCGCGUCAGCGAGCUCUUCCUGGCCGCCUUCCUCUGACCCUGAGAGAGGGUCACAUGGAUCUUGUGACUGCUAUCACUGGAUAGAUGAAUAUUUGGAUCUUGUUUUGUGCCAUGGUUAUAAUAUUCCUGAAGAGGAGGUGGAGUACAUUGCAAUGAUUUCCAAGCCCUAUCUAGACAGGGAGAUGACAACCAAAGGAACGAAGCCAAACAUUCGUGCUAGUUUCAUAGAGAAAGAUAGCAGGGUAGAAAGUGUGGUCAAGAAGAUUAGCAACAUUCCUGGAAAUCAGAUGAGCCAGAUUGCUGAAGAUAUCAAGCUUCAGUUGGAUCUUGUUGUAGGCAUAGGUUGGAAGAUUCUGCUUGUUUGUACCAUGAUUCUUGCCGUGAACUUGUAUGCUGUUGUAAUGAAGUAG
RNAcentral lists this ribosomal RNA (2892 nucleotides) under Triticum aestivum (bread wheat). RNAcentral describes it as "partial small subunit ribosomal RNA". The record is from RNAcentral. Lineage: Eukaryota; Viridiplantae; Streptophyta; Magnoliopsida; Poales; Poaceae.